AGGGCCGAGAGACCACCCCACAGCUCCUGCCCAGGUGGGAUGAGAAGGGCAGCACGAAGAUAAAAUACGUUAAAGACAGCCAGAGACUUGGAGACUUGUAGCAGAGGAAUAUCAACUCAAUAUAAAGAGGGACUUCCAUCCGUCUUGGAUGUCUCCAGACCCAAG
Long non-coding RNA from Tyto alba (common barn owl), 165 nucleotides. RefSeq lists it as uncharacterized. NCBI's taxonomy places the organism in Eukaryota, Metazoa, Chordata, Aves, Strigiformes, Tytonidae. The record is from RefSeq and is a predicted model, not a curated record. The transcript has 3 exons.